RNAcentral lists this ribosomal RNA (253 nucleotides) under uncultured bacterium. RNAcentral's name for it is "partial 16S ribosomal RNA". It matches the Rfam family "Bacterial small subunit ribosomal RNA", at positions 524 to 776 of the family's 1533-position model. The record is from RNAcentral.
CACGUAGGGAGCAAACGUUGUCCGGAUUUAUUGGGCGUAAAGAGCUCGUAGGCGGUUCGAUAAGUCAGGUGUGAAAUCUCGGGGCUUAACUCCGAAACUGCAUUCGAUACUGCCGUGCUUGAGGACUGGAGAGGAGACUGGAAUUUACGGUGUAGCGGUGAAAUGCGUAGAUAUCGUAAGGAAGACCAGUGGCGAAGGCGGGUCUCUGGACAGUUCCUGACGCUGAGGCACGAAGGCCAGGGGAGCAAACGGG